UUCUUUUAAACGUAGAGUUUAAACAUUGAAUUGCAUCAUUGUGAAGAAAAUCACUUAGUAUUUUAUAGUGAGGUGACUUUACAAGUAAAGAUCUUCAAGAAGAUUUUUAUGUGAUUUAAAAAAUCAGCUUAGAUGCUUGGAAUUUGGAUUGUUGCAUUCUUUUUCUUUGGCACAUCAAGAGGAAAAGAAGUUUGCUAUGAAAGGUUGGGGUGUUUCAAAGAUGGUUUACCAUGGACCAGGACUUUCUCAACAGAGUUGGUAGGUUUACCCUGGUCUCCAGAGAAGAUAAACACUCGUUUCCUGCUCUACACUAUACACAAUCCCAAUUUCUAUCAGGAGAUCAGUGCGGUUAAUUCUUCAACUAUCCAAGCCUCAUAUUUUGGAACAGACAAGAUCACCCGUAUCAACAUAGCUGGAUGGAAAACAGAUGGCAAAUGGCAGAGAGACAUGUGCAAUGUGUUGCUACAGCUGGAAGAUAUAAACUGCAUUAAUUUAGAUUGGAUCAACGGUUCACGGGAAUACAUCCAUGCUGUAAACAAUCUCCGUGUUGCUGGUGCUGAGGUGGCUUAUUUUAUUGAUGUUCUCGUGAAAAAAUUUGGAUAUUCCCCUUCUAAAGUGCACUUGAUUGGCCACAGUUUGGGAGCACACCUGGCUGGGGAAGCUGGGUCAAGGAUACCAGGCCUUGGAAGAAUAACUGGGUUGGAUCCAGCUGGGCCAUUUUUCCACAACACUCCAAAGGAAGUCAGGCUAGACCCCUCGGAUGCCAACUUUGUUGAUGUUAUUCAUACAAAUGCAGCUCGCAUCCUCUUUGAGCUUGGUGUUGGAACCAUUGAUGCUUGUGGUCAUCUUGACUUUUACCCAAAUGGAGGGAAGCACAUGCCAGGAUGUGAAGACUUAAUUACACCUUUACUGAAAUUUAACUUCAAUGCUUAUAAAAAAGAAAUGGCUUCCUUCUUUGACUGUAACCAUGCCCGAAGUUAUCAAUUUUAUGCUGAAAGCAUUCUUAAUCCUGAUGCAUUUAUUGCUUAUCCUUGUAGAUCCUACACAUCUUUUAAAGCAGGAAAUUGCUUCUUUUGUCCCCAAGAAGGUUGCCCAACAAUGGGUCAUUUUGCUGAUAGAUUUCACCUCAAAAAUAUGAAGACUAAUGGAUCAUAUUAUUUUUUAAACACAGGGUCUCUUUCCCCAUUUGCCCGUUGGAGGCACAAAUUGUCUGUUAAACUCAGUGGAAGCGAAGUCACUCAAGGGACUGUCUUUCUUCGUGUAGGCGGGGCAAUUGGGAAAACUGGGGAGUUUGCCAUUGUCAGUGGAAAACUUGAGCCAGGCAUGACUUACACAAAAUUAAUCGAUGCAGAUGUUAACGUUGGAAACAUUACAAGUGUUCAGUUCAUCUGGAAAAAACAUUUGUUUGAAGAUUCUCAGAAUAAGCUGGGAGCAGAAAUGGUGAUAAAUACAUCUGGGAAAUAUGGAUAUAAGCUCAGUGUUUAGCCUAUAGGUCUGUGCUAUAAAUAUCCUUGGAAGGAAAUGAUGACAGAUACUCUGCAGAGGGUUUCUUGAUUCUCCUUGGUGCCUCGCUGCCAGCUGAACCUUCAGAAGGACCCAUGGGUGUACAUAAAUAAAUCUGUGCUGUGGCAGAAAGCAGAGAAGCAUGUGUGAUGACUCUCCCAUUUUGCAAGGAAGGGAUGGAAGAUUGCUGGGGAGAAGGAGGAAAGCGGGUUCAGGGACAUUUGGCAUGAUCCAGCGGUGUGUACUGCUCUCACUGGUGGGCUGCACAUAUUCACACCUAGGCCAACCCAGGAGCAGAGUGGCUAUGAGUAAGCUCAGUAGAAGGGACUGAGCCGUACUGAGUAAUUGUGUCGCAGUCCAGCAUUCAUUAGCAAGCUGGUGGUGGAGUCAGCACAGACCUUGGGGAGACAAGUCUUCCUGAGAGCAGCUGUCCCGAGCCUGCGCAGGUCCCAAGGUGGAGGAAGAGUUAUGGAUCCGGCCGUGGCCUUAGGCAACACACGCAUGAAAUUUGGUGCCAUGACUCGGAUCGGGGGACCUCCCUUGGGAGAUCAAUCCCCUGUCCUCCUGCUCUUUGCUCGGUGAGAAAGAUCCACCUACGACCUCAGGUCCUCAGACUGACCAGCCCAAGAAACAUCUCACCAAUUUCAAAUCCGAAGACAAGAAUGUCAGGCCUCUGAGCCCAAGCUAAGCCAUCAUAUCCCCUGUGACCUGCAAGUACACAUCCAGAUGGCCGUUUCCUGCCUUAACUGACAACAUUCCACCACAAAAGAAGUGAAAAUGGCCUCUUCCUGCUUUAACUGAUGAUAUUGUCUUGUGAAAUUCCUUCUCCAGGCUCAAAAGCUCCCCUACUGAGCACCUUGUGACCCCCAACCCCAUUUUGACUGUAAUUUUCCUUUACCCACCCAAAUCCUAUAAAACGGGCCCACCCCAUCUCCCUUCGCUGACUCUCUUUUCAGAUUCAGCCCGCCUGCACCCAGGUG
Molecule: RNA transcript, 2483 nt
Organism: Pongo pygmaeus (Bornean orangutan)
Lineage: Eukaryota; Metazoa; Chordata; Mammalia; Primates; Hominidae
Gene: PNLIPRP3
Gene name: pancreatic lipase related protein 3
Exons: 14
Source: RefSeq, a predicted model, not a curated record